GUCCAGGUCAUAAAGGACAUUGUAGCCUCACCUUGUACAUCUUAGCUCUCUCACUGUAGCCAAAGCCAGCCGCCAUGUCAGCAGAAUACUCCAACAGCCCUGUGGAGAACUGAGGCCUCCCUCCAACAGCCAGCACCAACAUGGCAGCCAUGACUGUUUCCUGAGUACCCUUCAGCUGAAGAGGAACUCCUCUUAGAAACUCAGCCUCGACCAUCCUAGUUCAUCUUGGGGCUGUAUGAACGCCCUUGACUUCCAGAAAAGAAAAGCACAGAGGGAGCUUGGGGAAGAUCUUCUGUAUUUGUGGUGGCUCUUAUCCAAGAAGGCCCCUCGCACACUGAACACAGCUGACCUGCGUAAUCCCUGGGAUGUUGUGGAAAUGACAGCAUGACUUCAGACACUAGAUUAA
This is a long non-coding RNA of Leopardus geoffroyi (Geoffroy's cat), 406 nucleotides long. RefSeq lists it as uncharacterized. NCBI's taxonomy places the organism in Eukaryota, Metazoa, Chordata, Mammalia, Carnivora, Felidae. The record is from RefSeq and is a predicted model, not a curated record. The transcript has 3 exons.